ACCCUACAGAUUCCUUAAUCAUCAGACCUAAACACUGGUCUGGGUGGUUCUCAAAGGAGGAAAAGUAAAAUGGAGACUGAUUUUUAUUCUUUAUUGACACCCAAACUAGUUUUAAAUAAAG
Molecule: small nucleolar RNA, 121 nt
Organism: Echinops telfairi (small Madagascar hedgehog)
Lineage: Eukaryota; Metazoa; Chordata; Mammalia; Afrosoricida; Tenrecidae
Product: small nucleolar RNA SNORA61
Exons: 1
Source: RefSeq, a predicted model, not a curated record